RNAcentral lists this ribosomal RNA (253 nucleotides) under uncultured bacterium. RNAcentral describes it as "partial 16S ribosomal RNA". It matches the Rfam family "Bacterial small subunit ribosomal RNA", at positions 524 to 776 of the family's 1533-position model. The record is from RNAcentral.
UACGGGGGGGGCAAGCGUUGUUCGGAAUUACUGGGCGUAAAGGGCUCGUAGGCGGCCAACUAAGUCCGACGUGAAAUCCCUCGGCUUAACCGGGGAACUGCGUCUGAUACUGGAUGGCUUGAGGUUGGGAGAGGGAUGCGGAAUUCCUGGUGUAGCGGUGAAAUGCGCAGAUAUCAGGAGGAACACCAAUGGCGAAGGCAGCUCGCUGGGACGGUAUUGACGCUGAGACGCGAAAGCGUGGGGAGCAAACAGG